Sceloporus undulatus (fence lizard) is the source of this 4015-nucleotide long non-coding RNA. RefSeq lists it as uncharacterized. The record is from RefSeq and is a predicted model, not a curated record. The transcript is spliced from 6 exons. Lineage: Eukaryota; Metazoa; Chordata; Lepidosauria; Squamata; Phrynosomatidae.
AUGUGGCUGGGACCCAGGCUGGUGGCGGCAGGUGAUUAGGCAGCGAUCUAGCAUGCAAUAAUCCCGGCUCCAUCCCAGGAGGCUUGAAACGCUUUUAAAGUUCAUGUGAUAAGCUCCACAGUAGGACAUAAUGCUAAAUGGGUAUGUAUGGACUUGUAAUAAUAAUAAUAAUAUUUAUUUGUAUACCGCCCUCUGGCAAACCAAUCCGGGCAGUAAUCUACUCUCCUCUCACAAAAGGUGGAAUGAAUAGCUCCCAGUUCCCAGAUUUUUCCCUCUGCACUUGAUAAAUGCUAAAUGAAUGAAUUUAAUAUAAAAUUUAAGAAAUUUUAUUGCAAACAUACAUGAGCAGCACAAAAUCUAAUGUGACCAUGGAGCUUAUCACUCAGCCUAAAUAACCUGGCUUACCUCUUCCAAAUUGAAGCCUAAAUUUCUGUCUAAAUGCAGGUGUUUGAGGAGCAGUGGGGUCUCAUCAGGUGCAGUCGGCACACACACACCCCCGCACCCCUCUAGUGCUGCCACUGCCUGUGAAAACCCUGUAGAAAUCAUGGGGGUCACCAUAAGUCAACAGGCAACUUGAAGGCAUGUACACAGAGAGAGAGAGAGCAUGAGGAAUGCACAAGACAAUAUAGCUGCAUCUAGAUAUAGACAAUGUUCUGAAGAAGACAGAGGAUGUUUAUAGCACUGGGAAAUGAUGGCAAGAGUAAUACCAACACAGUUUUCUAUCCUUCAACAUUUUAAGGAUGAAAACUGGGACACAAGCAACUCUGGACUGCAAUCAAUAUGGCAAAAGUUAUUAAUGAGGAAGAGCACACAAGCUGAGGGAGGCUAAGGCUGUUUGCUUUUGCAUGAACCUCCUGGAAAAGACAAGAGUCCUCAUGCCAUUGCUGGAUUAACUGAAUACUGCACUUUGAACUCAGUGUGCAGCAGUAAAAUAAGUUGAGGACAAGGAGGGGAAAUGAAAGGAGAGAGAAACUGGGACUUUUUCAGCAGCUGAAAAAGUGAAAUGACACAGGAAUAACCAGAACUGUCCCUGGCAAAUCAGGACAUUUGGGGGAAAUGAAGUUUAUAACUGGCCUUGCACGUUUAUGUCUAUGAUGUUUAUCACACUAUACUCUUAAAGUGCUACUAUUCCACUUUGACUCCUCUAGCUGCCUCCUGUUGCAUUCUGGGAUUUGCAGUUUUAAGGAGGGGUAUUUAGAAUUCUCAGGCAGAGAACUUCUCUAUAAGAGUAUAGUGUGAUAAACAUCUAUGAUACACAUGCACACAACACUUUGGAGUAAUGUUUCUGUCUUUUGCUUAGUGAGAUAUCGACUGUUCACUGUUGGACACAUAUUGGACCCUCAAAGAAAGAUUGUUGAUGUAUCGAUUGUGAACCCAGAUGGGAUGGCGGUUGAACAGAACUUGGUAACAUCAUCUGAUGGCAUUAUCACUCAGUCCUACAGGAUUCCUGAUACUGUGAUUGUGGCCAAACUUCGAGGUGACUCUGGUGUCCUCCAAAAAGUUAUUCUAUGUUGAUGAUAAUGAACUCAUCAUUGAUAUCACUGCCAGUCUGAUUUGCAGCAACUGAAUGGGAACAACAAGAGUUUCUGAUUCGGGAACCUGGAGAUGGGAGGAGCAACGCUCAAGGGGCUGGCCUGGGGGGUGUCACCUUCUUUGUUCUCUUUUGGUAUCGCCGGCACCAUUUUCCCCAUUCAUGUCCCUUUUUCCGCUGAGGUUGGUGCGAGAAGCAGAAACAUAAGAAGGAACGUCAUAUGUGCUCACACUUACAGAAGUGGAGGGAGAGGAGGACGCUGACAUGACGCAACUAGAUGUUCCACCGGACAAUGCAACAGAGGAUGAAACUGGCAAAGAUGGUGGCACCUUACCUGCCCCUCUGGUUGACCAUGACCCCAUGGAAGGUCCAAGUUUUGAACUGGUGAAUCCCAAUAGUUAAAACCGACACAGCAAGACAGUUACAGUCCCUGAUGCCUGCAGAGAGGUUGGCUUUGAUUCAGCACAAGCAGGAGCAUACAACAGCGGAGAAAAUGGCUGACAAAUUGUUAACUAAUUCCUCCACCAACCUGGGCCUUCUGUUGGUACACAUGAGUGCCAAGGAGUCACGUGAGCAAGAGCACAGGGAAUGGGAAAAGCAGUUCAAGGAAAGAUACCUUGAGCAAACUAAGACUAAAUUUAUGGAGGUACUAAAUGUAUUCAAAGAGCAAACAAUUAUAAUGAAGGAUCUUGCACAAAAAAAUGAUGGCAGUACAGCUAAAGGUAGGGUGUUGAAGUGUGCCAGAGGCAUUUGCACUCCAAUGAGCAGCCAUGUUCCGCUAAAACUCCCAGCUACGGCAACUCAAUAGUAUUCUAAUGGUGUGGAAGAUGCCUCUCAGGCAUCUACUAGCUCUGCAUUGAUGGGAAGUAAUACUAGUCAGCCAUCGGCCAAUGCCCAUGUAGUGUCUAGCAAGCAUCGCCCCCAAAGAACAGUUAAGAAACCUGUCCCUCUGUCCCCUUGACCUGGCAUUGUCACUUGGUAAACCUGGAAAACACUGUUUAUCUCUUUUUAUCCACCACAAACAGUUUAUUUAGAUGUAGCUUAUACAUAUGUUUACCUAUGAUUAAAUAAAAUAUUUUUAUCACAACCCAUUUAUCUAUUUUCUUAUGCAUCCAUCUUGUAGAGCUCUGAUCUUAAAUGGAAUAGUUCCACGAAGACUGGUGGGUCAAUGUGUCAUUGAGGAGACCGUAGGGUAACUACAAUGACUUCGCUACAUACCUUUACAUAUGUUCCACCGGAUAAAUACAAUAGAUGUAGUCACCACAGUACACAGAAAUAACCAGAAGCAAAGUUUUGUUUAUGAAAAAAUAUAACUUUUAUUUCUUUACAAGUGACAACAUAAGUAUAGUAAUGAUUGCACUUUGAUAUUGCAACAUAUGAAACUUCACAGUAAUAGCUACAGCAUGGUUUAAAGUAGUUAGUCUUCUUUAUUAAUUUGUACACAGGAAAUACCACAGCAUACAGUUUCUCUGGAUCGUAAGGCCAGUACCGCAAUCGUAGUGCAAUAAAGUACAAAACAUGUCAAGGGGAAAUGGUUAUCCCUUUCAUUGAAAGGGUCCAUUUGAGCAAUCAUGAUUUGGACAUUAGACCAGUACAAGCAGCAAAGCACAUUGAGAAGUUACAAAUGGUGCAAAAAUGGCCACUUCUAUACAUAACAUUGUGGCUAGUGCCACAUUUGUCUAGUACUAAGUACUCUCUAAGUAAGUAGACAGUUGUACUACAGUAGCUGUUUGACAGCUAAUAAACAUUAUGAUUGCCAUAUCAAGGUUUCUUUCAGCAUGUGCUGCAUUGCAGUGAAAGUUCUAUACUGAACAGCAACACAACUCUUUGAAUUCAUCCUUAGCCAUCAUAAUAGAAGCCACUGUCAGAUAUUAAAGCAAAACUAGGAAAAUCACAUCACCACAAAUGAAGUAUGGAAUAUUGCAAAACUUUUCAUAGUUGAGAAAAGUGCAAUCAUUCACUGCCCAGUUGUAUUGUUAUGUUCAUAGUGGGCAGAAGGCAAAACAAGCAAAGAAAAAUUGGGCUUAAUGCCAAAUUACUCUUGAUUUUCUUUAUUAAUUUGUACACAGGAUGUACCACAUCAUACAUUUUUGAUUGGUCAUAAAGCUAGCACCGUAAUCCUAGUGUACUAAAGUGCAAAACAUGCCUAGUAAAUUACUGUUAAUGUAUAUUUAUAUUUGUAUUGAAAAUGUCCAGAUGUGACAAUGGUUAACUAAACUAAAGUAAAAUGGUUCCUGUUGAAGGCCAGGAAGUCUAACCUGGAAAAACAGAAUGUUUAAGGGCAAAUGGCCGAGACAAGAUGUAAACAUCAUAUGUUUGUUGUUUGUACUGUGAUUGGUUCUUAUGUGGGAAGAGGCUGGACUACAUCGUGGGAAUGUUUAUUCUUUUGAGAGAACAAAGACUGAUGUCAUGUUCAAGUUUUUUUCUUCUAGCAUGGACUCAGAAAGGAGAAGGAUGUGAUAUAUAGUAGCUGUAGCUGUGAAU